Molecule: ribosomal RNA, 94 nt
Filed under: Staphylococcus warneri
Lineage: Bacteria; Bacillati; Bacillota; Bacilli; Caryophanales; Staphylococcaceae
Also listed under: 1 other name
Source: RNAcentral
GUCACACCUGUUCCCAUGCCGAACACAGAAGUUAAGCUCCUUAGCGCCGAUGGUAGUCGGACUAACGUUCCGCUAGAGUAGGACGUUGCCAGGC